This 254-nucleotide ribosomal RNA is filed under the name uncultured bacterium. Its description in RNAcentral is "partial 16S ribosomal RNA". It matches the Rfam family "Bacterial small subunit ribosomal RNA", at positions 524 to 776 of the family's 1533-position model. The record is from RNAcentral.
UACGUAGGGAGCGAGCGUUGUCCGGAUUUAUUGGGCGUAAAGAGCUCGUAGGCGGUUUGGUAAGUCGGGUGUGAAAGCUCCGGGCUCAACUCGGAGAGGUCACUCGAUACUGCCAUGACUGGAGUCCGGUAGGGGGGUGUGGAAUUCCUGGUGUAGCGGUGAAAUGCGCAGAUAUCAGGAGGAACACCAGCGGCGAAGGCGGCGCUCUGGGCCGGAACUGACGCUGAGGAGCGAAAGCGUGGGGAGCAAACAGG